This 727-nucleotide ribosomal RNA is filed under the name bacterium Pv85. RNAcentral describes it as "bacterial SSU rRNA". It matches the Rfam family "Bacterial small subunit ribosomal RNA", at positions 63 to 803 of the family's 1533-position model. The record is from RNAcentral.
CGAACGAUGAAGCCCAGCUUGCUGGGUGGAUUAGUGGCGAACGGGUGAGUAACACGUGAGUAACCUGCCCUUAACUCUGGGAUAAGCCUGGGAAACUGGGUCUAAUACCGGAUAGGAGCGCCUACCGCAUGGUGGGUGUUGGAAAGAUUUAUCGGUUUUGGAUGGACUCGCGGCCUAUCAGCUUGUUGGUGAGGUAAUGGCUCACCAAGGCGACGACGGGUAGCCGGCCUGAGAGGGUGACCGGCCACACUGGGACUGAGACACGGCCCAGACUCCUACGGGAGGCAGCAGUGGGGAAUAUUGCACAAUGGGCGCAAGCCUGAUGCAGCGACGCCGCGUGAGGGAUGACGGCCUUCGGGUUGUAAACCUCUUUCAGUAGGGAAGAAGCGAAAGUGACGGUACCUGCAGAAGAAGCACCGGCUAACUACGUGCCAGCAGCCGCGGUAAUACGUAGGGUGCGAGCGUUAUCCGGAAUUAUUGGGCGUAAAGAGCUCGUAGGCGGUUUGUCGCGUCUGUCGUGAAAGUCCGGGGCUUAACCCCGGAUCUGCGGUGGGUACGGGCAGACUAGAGUGCAGUAGGGGAGACUGGAAUUCCUGGUGUAGCGGUGGAAUGCGCAGAUAUCAGGAGGAACACCGAUGGCGAAGGCAGGUCUCUGGGCUGUAACUGACGCUGAGGAGCGAAAGCAUGGGGAGCGAACAGGAUUAGAUACCCUGGUAGUCCAUGCCGU